This is a non-coding RNA of Kogia breviceps (pygmy sperm whale), 196 nucleotides long. NCBI's taxonomy places the organism in Eukaryota, Metazoa, Chordata, Mammalia, Artiodactyla, Physeteridae. The record is from RefSeq and is a predicted model, not a curated record.
UAAAAAACCCUGACACUAAAACUGCUGACCUAAGGCUGGCAGCUGCAGAGAUUUGAGCUCUGUGAGGAUCACAUGGGAUGAAGGACUUGAAAGGACCCAGGGCAGUGUCAGGGGCCCAAUCAUCCUGCCUCUGCCUUCUGCCCCUCGGCCCAUGUCAGCCCCCAAGACCUGAGUGACUGUGAUGCUGAAGAGGAAG